This 1065-nucleotide ribosomal RNA is filed under the name Alternaria alternata. Its description in RNAcentral is "SSU rRNA". It matches the Rfam family "Eukaryotic small subunit ribosomal RNA", at positions 50 to 1126 of the family's 1831-position model. The record is from RNAcentral. Lineage: Eukaryota; Fungi; Ascomycota; Dothideomycetes; Pleosporales; Pleosporaceae.
CGGGCGGGUCUAGUAUAAGCAAUUAUACCGUGAAACUGCGAAUGGCUCAUUAAAUCAGUUAUCGUUUAUUUGAUAAUACCUUACUACUUGGAUAACCGUGGUAAUUCUAGAGCUAAUACAUGCUGAAAAUCCCGACUUCGGAAGGGAUGUGUUUAUUAGAUAAAAAACCAAUGCCCUUCGGGGCUUUUUGGUGAUUCAUGAUAACUUUACGGAUCGCAUAGCCUUGCGCUGGCGACGGUUCAUUCAAAUUUCUGCCCUAUCAACUUUCGAUGGUAAGGUAUUGGCUUACCAUGGUUUCAACGGGUAACGGGGAAUUAGGGUUCGAUUCCGGAGAGGGAGCCUGAGAAACGGCUACCACAUCCAAGGAAGGCAGCAGGCGCGCAAAUUACCCAAUCCCGACACGGGGAGGUAGUGACAAUAAAUACUGAUACAGGGCUCUUUUGGGUCUUGUAAUUGGAAUGAGUACAAUUUAAACCUCUUAACGAGGAACAAUUGGAGGGCAAGUCUGGUGCCAGCAGCCGCGGUAAUUCCAGCUCCAAUAGCGUAUAUUAAAGUUGUUGCAGUUAAAAAGCUCGUAGUUGAAACUUGGGCCUGGCUGGCGGGUCCGCCUCACCGCGUGCACUCGUCCGGCCGGGCCUUCCUUCUGAAGAACCUCAUGCCCUUCACUGGGCGUGCUGGGGAAUCAGGACUUUUACUUUGAAAAAAUUAGAGUGUUCAAAGCAGGCCUUUGCUCGAAUACGUUAGCAUGGAAUAAUAAAAUAGGGCGUGCGUUUCUAUUUUGUUGGUUUCUAGAGACGCCGCAAUGAUUAACAGGAACAGUCGGGGGCAUCAGUAUUCAGUUGUCAGAGGUGAAAUUCUUGGAUUUACUGAAGACUAACUACUGCGAAAGCAUUUGCCAAGGAUGUUUUCAUUAAUCAGUGAACGAAAGUUAGGGGAUCGAAGACGAUCAGAUACCGUCGUAGUCUUAACCGUAAACUAUGCCGACUAGGGAUCGGGCGAUGUUCUUUUUCUGACUCGCUCGGCACCUUACGAGAAAUCAAAGUUUUUGGGCUCCUGGGGGAUAAC